UAGAGGUAUUUAAAGGGCUUAAAGCUGGG
RNAcentral lists this small RNA (29 nucleotides) under Bombyx mori (domestic silkworm). Its description in RNAcentral is "ovarian small RNA-22020". Lineage: Eukaryota; Metazoa; Arthropoda; Insecta; Lepidoptera; Bombycidae. The record is from RNAcentral.